CUACACAUGCAGUCGAACGGUAACAGGAAGCAGCUUGCUGCUUCGCUGACGAGUGGCGGACGGGUGAGUAAUGUCUGGGAAACUGCCUGAUGGAGGGGGAUAACUACUGGAAACGGUAGCUAAUACCGCAUAAUGUCGCAAGACCAAAGAGGGGGACCUUCGGGCCUCUUGCCAUCAGAUGUGCCCAGAUGGGAUUAGCUUGUUGGUGGGGUAACGGCUCACCAAGGCGACGAUCCCUAGCUGGUCUGAGAGGAUGACCAGCCACACUGGAACUGAGACACGGUCCAGACUCCUACGGGAGGCAGCAGUGGGGAAUAUUGCACAAUGGGCGCAAGCCUGAUGCAGCCAUGCCGCGUGUAUGAAGAAGGCCUUCGGGUUGUAAAGUACUUUCAGCGGGGAGGAAGGUGCUGUGGUUAAUAACCGCAGCAAUUGACGUUACCCGCAGAAGAAGCACCGGCUAACUCCGUGCCAGCAGCCGCGGUAAUACGGAGGGUGCAAGCGUUAAUCGGAAUUACUGGGCGUAAAGCGCACGCAGGCGGUCUGUUAAGUCAGAUGUGAAAUCCCCGGGCUCAACCUGGGAACUGCAUCUGAUACUGGCAGGCUUGAGUCUCGUAGAGGGGGGUAGAAUUCCAGGUGUAGCGGUGAAAUGCGUAGAGAUCUGGAGGAAUACCGGUGGCGAAGGCGGCCCCCUGGACGAAGACUGACGCUCAGGUGCGAAAGCGUGGGGAGCAAACAGGAUUAGAUACCCUGGUAGUCCACGCCGUAAACGAUGUCGACUUGGAGGUUGUGCCCUUGAGGCGUGGCUUCCGGAGCUAACGCGUUAAGUCGACCGCCUGGGGAGUACGGCCGCAAGGUUAAAACUCAAAUGAAUUGACGGGGGCCCGCACAAGCGGUGGAGCAUGUGGUUUAAUUCGAUGCAACGCGAAGAACCUUACCUGGUCUUGACAUCCACGGAAGUUUUCAGAGAUGAGAAUGUGCCUUCGGGAACCGUGAGACAGGUGCUGCAUGGCUGUCGUCAGCUCGUGUUGUGAAAUGUUGGGUUAAGUCCCGCAACGAGCGCAACCCUUAUCCUUUGUUGCCAGCGGUUAGGCCGGGAACUCAAAG
RNAcentral lists this ribosomal RNA (1104 nucleotides) under Citrobacter koseri. Its description in RNAcentral is "bacterial SSU rRNA". It matches the Rfam family "Bacterial small subunit ribosomal RNA", at positions 49 to 1144 of the family's 1533-position model. The record is from RNAcentral. Lineage: Bacteria; Pseudomonadati; Pseudomonadota; Gammaproteobacteria; Enterobacterales; Enterobacteriaceae.